GUCGAACGCUUCUUUCCUCCCGAGUGCUUGCACUCAAUUGGAAAGAGGAGUGGCGGACGGGUGAGUAACACGUGGGUAACCUACCCAUCAGAGGGGGAUAACACUUGGAAACAGGUGCUAAUACCGCAUAACAGUUUAUGCCGCAUGGCAUAAGAGUGAAAGGCGCUUUCGGGUGUCGCUGAUGGAUGGACCCGCGGUGCAUUAGCUAGUUGGUGAGGUAACGGCUCACCAAGGCCACGAUGCAUAGCCGACCUGAGAGGGUGAUCGGCCACACUGGGACUGAGACACGGCCCAGACUCCUACGGGAGGCAGCAGUAGGGAAUCUUCGGCAAUGGACGAAAGUCUGACCGAGCAACGCCGCGUGAGUGAAGAAGGUUUUCGGAUCGUAAAACUCUGUUGUUAGAGAAGAACAAGGACGUUAGUAACUGAACGUCCCCUGACGGUAUCUAACCAGAAAGCCACGGCUAACUACG
RNAcentral lists this ribosomal RNA (473 nucleotides) under Enterococcus faecalis. Its description in RNAcentral is "bacterial SSU rRNA". It matches the Rfam family "Bacterial small subunit ribosomal RNA", at positions 61 to 505 of the family's 1533-position model. Lineage: Bacteria; Bacillati; Bacillota; Bacilli; Lactobacillales; Enterococcaceae. The record is from RNAcentral.